GGCGACAUGGCCGAGUGGUAAGGCAUGGGACUGCAAAUCCCUUUUUCCCCAGUUCAAAUCCGGGUGUCGCCU
Molecule: transfer RNA, 72 nt
Filed under: Orobanche austrohispanica
Lineage: Eukaryota; Viridiplantae; Streptophyta; Magnoliopsida; Lamiales; Orobanchaceae
Description: tRNA-Cys
Rfam family: tRNA
About the family: Transfer RNA (tRNA) molecules are approximately 80 nucleotides in length.
Source: RNAcentral